GGCACGGUGGCUUAGAGUUUACCACAUUUGCCUUGCACCUACAGGAUUUCGGGUUCGAUUCCCGCCUCUGCCC
This is a non-coding RNA of Ameiurus melas (black bullhead), 73 nucleotides long. The record is from the annotation of a GenBank genome assembly. NCBI's taxonomy places the organism in Eukaryota, Metazoa, Chordata, Actinopteri, Siluriformes, Ictaluridae.